RNAcentral lists this ribosomal RNA (1356 nucleotides) under uncultured marine eukaryote. RNAcentral describes it as "SSU rRNA". It matches the Rfam family "Eukaryotic small subunit ribosomal RNA", at positions 411 to 1779 of the family's 1831-position model. The record is from RNAcentral.
CACUUCUAAGGAAGGCAGCAGGCGCGCAAAUUACCCAAUCCUGACUCAGGGGGGUAGUGACAAGAAAUAACAAUAAACCGGCUUAUGCCGGUUUAAUUGGAAUGAGUACAAUUUAAACAUCUUAACGAGGAACAAUUGGAGGGCAAGUCUGGUGCCAGCAGCCGCGGUAAUUCCAGCUCCAAUAGCGUAUACUAAAGUUGUUGCAGUUAAAAAGCUCGUAGUUGGAUUUCUGUGGGGACGGAGCGGCCGGCCGCACAUCGCGGUUCGAGCUAGCGCUUUCCCUACAUCCUGCCGCGAACCGUGCUACCAUUAGUUUGGUGGCGCCGGGGAUCAGCUCGAUUACUUUGAGAAAAAUAGAGUGUUCAAAGCAGGCCACAUGCCUUGAAUAAGUUAGCAUGGAAUAAUAACUAAGGACUUCGGUUCUAUUUUGUUGGUGUUCGGGACUGAAGUAAUGAUUGAUAGGGACAGUUGGGGCGGUCCGUAUUCCAAAGCGAGAGGUGAAAUUCUUAGACCUUCGGAAGACAAACAGCUGCGAAAGCGUUCCGCAAGGAUGUUCCCUUUGAUCAAGAACGAAAGUUGGGGGAUCGAAGACGAUCAGAUACCGUCGUAGUCUCAACUAUAAACUAUACCAGCCAGGGAUCGGCCAACGUUAUUUUAUACCGACUUGGUCGGCACCUUAUGAGAAAUCAAAGCAUCUGGGUUCCGGGGGGAGUAUGGUCGCAAGGCUGAAACUUAAAGGAAUUGACGGAAGGGCACCACCAGCCGUGGAGCUUGUGGCUUAAUUUGACUCAAUACGGGAAAACUUACCAGGUCCAGACAUAGUAAGGAUUGACAGAUUGAUAGCUCUUUCUUGAUUCUGUGGGUGGUGGUGCAUGGCCGUUCUUAGUUGGUGGAGUGAUUUGUCUGGUUAAUUCCGUUAACGAACGAGACCCCAGCCUGCUAAAUAGCGCGCGUGAGCUUUGCUCGCGGCGAGCUUCUUAGAGGGACUAUGAUGCGCGAUAGCACAUGGAAGUUUGGGGCAAUAACAGGUCUGUGAUGCCCUUAGAUGUUCUGGGCCGCACACGGGCUACACUGGCGCCUGCAACGAGCAUAUCAGCUGGCCCGAGAGGGUCUUGGCUAAUCUUUUGAACCGGCGCCGUGCUUGGGAUUGACCUUUGCAAUUGUUGGUCAUGCAACGAGGAAUGCCUUGUAAACGCGAGUCAUCAGCUCGCAUUGAAUACGUCCCUGCCCUUUGUACACACCGCCCGUCGCUCCUACCGAUGAAUGUUCCGAUGAAAUUUUCGGAGAGCACCUGUGAACUUGGCUCUGCCUUGCGAACGGGAGGCUCAAAGUCACUUAAAUCUGAACAUUUCGAGG